Cyprinus carpio carpio is the source of this 809-nucleotide long non-coding RNA. The record is from Ensembl. NCBI's taxonomy places the organism in Eukaryota, Metazoa, Chordata, Actinopteri, Cypriniformes, Cyprinidae.
CCCUUUCUGUCUAAGUCGCUGGUUUUUGAUCAGAAUAAAAAGUAAAAAGUACAAAGAGAAGCAAGCAGAUUUUAUGCAGAUUCUAGCUCUGUGAGACUAUGGAUGACAUAAGCAUUCACUUUCCAUUUAGCAUUCUGACCAAGUCUUCAGUCUGAUUUAUCUGAUGGCAGUGAUCAAUACUUUUAAAAAAAAUAAAAAAUAAAAAGCACACUCUUGUGACUAUGUCAAUAAUAACUAAAAUAUACCUUGCCUGUGCUUUCAAAAUGAAAGAUUGUCUUAUAUGGCUAGUGGCCAGUAGGCAGUUUUUGUUGUUUGCUAUUUAACUCGCAUGAAACAGUACCAUCAGGGAAAGUUCUUCAGUGUUUUUCUUGCUGCUGCUCUGAAAGUGUUUUCAUAAGAGACGACAUUCACAAUGUACAGUCAUAAACUGCCCCAAUGCUACAGUGGAUGACAGAAUGUGGAUUACUGCAUCGGGAGAUGAUCUAGGCUCCAAUGAGGAAGACUUGGCUGUGUUGACAGGGGAAGGUGGCGUUGCCCAAGUCAGACCCAGAGCUGACUGCUAUGCUUCCCCGGGACGCAAAGAGUGUCAGGCUGCAGUGGAAGGCUCUGCUGUCACCGGUUUGCUCAAGGCUGGACAGUUGCUACCUGGGGAUGGUACCAGGCCGAUUCUGCCCUGCUAUGGUCCUUCUUCUGGUUCUGACUCAGGCAUAAUGCAAGAACUACGUACAGCGACGGCUCAUAUGUCGGGAGAAAAUGACGACUGCUAUGUUCAUUAUUACAUCCAACAACAAAACACCUCAGUUGCUUAA